This 500-nucleotide ribosomal RNA is filed under the name uncultured bacterium. RNAcentral's name for it is "bacterial SSU rRNA". It matches the Rfam family "Bacterial small subunit ribosomal RNA", at positions 903 to 1397 of the family's 1533-position model. The record is from RNAcentral.
AAAGGAAUAGACGGGGACCCGCACAAGCGGUGGAGCAUGUGGUUUAAUUCGAUGCAACGCGAAGAACCUUACCUGGGCUUGACAUGUAUAAGAACCUAUUAGAGAUAAUGGGGUGCUGGUUCGCCAGAGCUUUUACACAGGUGCUGCAUGGCUGUCGUCAGCUCGUGUCGUGAGAUGUUGGGUUAAGUCCCGCAACGAGCGCAACCCUUAUCCUUAGUUGCCAUCAUUUAGUUGGGGACUCUAGGGAGACUGCCAGCGUAAAAAGCUGGAGGAAGGUGGGGACGACGUCAAGUCAUCAUGGUCCUUAUGUCCAGGGCUACACACGUGCUACAAUGGUUGGUACAAAGAGGAGCUACGCAGUAAUGCCACGCAAAUCUCAUAAAGCCAAUCUCAGUUCGGAUUGAGGUCUGCAACUCGACCUCAUGAAGUCGGAAUCGCUAGUAAUCGUGCGUCAGAACAGCACGGUGAAUACGUUCCCGGGUCUUGUACACACCGCCCGU